AUUGAACGCUGGCGGCAGGCUUAACACAUGCAAGUCGAGCGGGGGAAGGUAGCUUGCUACCGGACCUAGCGGCGGACGGGUGAGUAAUGCUUAGGAAUCUGCCUAUUAGUGGGGGACAACAUCUCGAAAGGGAUGCUAAUACCGCAUACGUCCUACGGGAGAAAGCAGGGGAUCUUCGGACCUUGCGCUAAUAGAUGAGUCUAAGUCGGAUUAGCUAGUUGGUGGGGUAAAGGCCUACCAAGGCGACGAUCUGUAGCGGGUCUGAGAGGAUGAUCCGCCACACUGGGACUGAGACACGGCCCAGACUCCUACGGGAGGCAGCAGUGGGGAAUAUUGGACAAUGGGCGGAAGCCUGAUCCAGCCAUGCCGCGUGUGUGAAGAAGGCCUUUUGGUUGUAAAGCACUUUAAGCGAGGAGGAGGCUACUUAGAUUAAUACUCUGGGAUAGUGGACGUUACUCGCAGAAUAAGCACCGGCUAACUCUGUGCCAGCCGCCGCCGUAA
This 501-nucleotide ribosomal RNA is filed under the name uncultured bacterium. RNAcentral's name for it is "partial 16S ribosomal RNA". It matches the Rfam family "Bacterial small subunit ribosomal RNA", at positions 30 to 523 of the family's 1533-position model. The record is from RNAcentral.